Molecule: long non-coding RNA, 628 nt
Organism: Helianthus annuus (common sunflower)
Lineage: Eukaryota; Viridiplantae; Streptophyta; Magnoliopsida; Asterales; Asteraceae
Exons: 2
Source: RefSeq, a predicted model, not a curated record
UUUAAUCCAUUCCCAUUCAUACAUGCCGCCUUCUUUCCUUCCUCUCCAUCCUUUCAAAUCUCCAUUAUCAUUACCUUACUUUAACCUCCCCCCCUCUAUAUAUAGAUGACGCAUCACUAGUCUUUUGCGUCAUAUUCUCACCCUACUUCUGUUGUUUAAAAUUCAUAAAAACAGAGCUCUUUGUUCGUUGUUUUUCCCACAGUUUCUGAAAAGAAAAGAUAAGAAGAUGGAAAGGUUGAACUCAAAGCUGUACAUGGAGAACUGUCUGAUAAUGCAAGAGAAUGAGAAGUUAAGGAAGAAAGCACAGAUUCUGAAUCAAGAGAAUCAAGCAUUGCUCUCACAGCUGAAACAGAGGAUAACAAUGGGUGCUCAAAAUGGGUCUCAAACCACCAAUGGAACUCAUGCUUCUUCUUCUGCGUCUAGGAACCCUUGAAGAUUAGUGGAAUGACCAAAUGGGACUUGUGUUAUCUCUUUUAGUUUUAAAUUAAAUCCCCCUUCAUUUUGUAGUUUAAGUAGAUAUAGGGAUGGAUGGAUACUAGGGGUGGGGGUAGAAUUGGUACUUUGGUAUUUCUCUAUGGUGUAGUAUGUUAUAUAUCAGUUUUAAUGACAAAUUUCUGUUUCAAAAUUA